GCCUGGGUGGUGGAAUUGGUAGACACGCUAGCUUGAGGGGCUAGUGGGAGAAAUCUCGUGCUGGUUCGAGUCCAGUCCCAGGCACCA
This 87-nucleotide transfer RNA is filed under the name Bdellovibrionales bacterium. Its description in RNAcentral is "tRNA-Leu". It matches the Rfam family "tRNA". Rfam says of the family: Transfer RNA (tRNA) molecules are approximately 80 nucleotides in length. Their secondary structure includes four short double-helical elements and three loops (D, anti-codon, and T loops). Further hydrogen bonds mediate the characteristic L-shaped molecular structure. tRNAs have two regions of fundamental functional importance: the anti-codon, which is responsible for specific mRNA codon recognition, and the 3' end, to which the tRNAs corresponding amino acid is attached (by aminoacyl-tRNA synthetases). tRNAs cope with the degeneracy of the genetic code in two manners: having more than one tRNA (with a specific anti-codon) for a particular amino acid; and 'wobble' base-pairing, i.e. permitting non-standard base-pairing at the 3rd anti-codon position. Lineage: Bacteria; Pseudomonadati; Bdellovibrionota; Bdellovibrionia; Bdellovibrionales. The record is from RNAcentral. RNAcentral also lists the same sequence under 1 other name.